GACAAUAAAUCACAAUGCGGAACAAUGUUUUGCAAUUGGAUUGAGAACAACGUACAAACCUUAUCGAUAAACAAUUGGAGGGCAAGUCUGGUGCCAGCAGCCGCGGUAAUUCCAGCUCCAAUAGCGUAUAUUAACGUUGUUGCAGUUAAAAAGCUCGUAGUUGAAAUGAAGGGUAGUUGUGUAAUGAAUACAUUCGUGUAUUUUGUUAUUCAACUACCCUCCUUCUAAAUUCGAUAUAUGAGUAUUAAUUUACUUGUAUAUGGUUUUAGACGUUUACUGUGAGAAAAUUAGAGUGUUCAAAGCAGGCAUUUGCUUGAAUAUAUUAGCAUGGAAUAAUCAUGUAUGAUUUUCAUGAUGUAUUUGAUUGGUUUGGUUCAUGAGAAUAAGAUUAAAAGGGACAGUUGGGGGUAUUCAUAUUCAAUAGUCAGAGGUGAAAUUCUCGGAUUUAUGGAAGAUGAACAAGUGCGAAAGCAUUUACCAAGGAUGUUUUC
RNAcentral lists this ribosomal RNA (491 nucleotides) under uncultured Blastocystis sp. RNAcentral's name for it is "SSU rRNA". It matches the Rfam family "Eukaryotic small subunit ribosomal RNA", at positions 469 to 971 of the family's 1831-position model. The record is from RNAcentral. Lineage: Eukaryota; Bigyra; Opalinata; Blastocystidae.